RNAcentral lists this long non-coding RNA (370 nucleotides) under Mytilus galloprovincialis (Mediterranean mussel). Lineage: Eukaryota; Metazoa; Mollusca; Bivalvia; Mytilida; Mytilidae. The record is from RNAcentral.
UUAAGGAUGUACUUAGGUGAGGUUAGGUGAAAAUUAAUGAAUUAAGAAGUUAAAAUUGAUACUAUAAGCUGGUAGAGCAUCAAUUAAGGAUAAACAUAAGCUAAAAAAUACUGAUAGGUCAUGGAACUCCUUUUCGAGAUAUUUGAGAAUUAAAAUAUGGCGGGAAAAGGCUGACUCGGACUUUUACCUUAUAUUUGCAUUAGUAUUAUUGGGUCUCAAAACAAAAGAAAGAAAAUUGAGAAUCUUCUAAAAUUUUGGUAAAUAACCUUUCAUGAGCUAUUAAGUCUUAUGUGAAAAAAUAAAUGGGUGUUAUGGGGCAAAAUAUUUUACAUUGUAUUGUAUGGAAAAACACCAAGGAGUCCGAACAUUU